GCUUUAUGGGAGAUUAAGAAAACCACCUGUCUCUAAAGGGGUUAGUUAGGGUUGUUCUGAGCCCUAGGGGUUAGUCAGACUGAUCUUCAGUCUUUAUAUUCAUUUGAAAUCAAUUUACUAAUUAACUUGAGCCUUGUCUUAACUUGAGCCUUGUCUAGCAUCAUGUUGGAUGAUUUGUUUAUUUUUUAAAUACCUGCACCAAACCUUUGUAUUGAAUCUUCUGCUUCCUGCGUCUCCUUGCUCAACAACAUCAGCCAGACAGCUCGAACCAUCCAGGGCAAGGAGAGAAGGAGAGAGGAAGCUGUGCCUGUUUGAAUCCUAGGCCUCAGACUGCCUGCUGGACACCAUUCAGAAAUCCAUUCUCCUGCCUGAACAAUGCCUAGCCCAGCUUCCUAGCUUACCAUUUCACACGCGCUACAAUGCUCCCGUCUCGCCCAGCCACCAAGGCUCUCCUCACAUUCACACUAUAGCUCCCAUUUUCUGACACUUUGCAUUUGCUUUCUGAGAGAAAUGUUGAUUCAUGAUCGAAUCAUUCCUGUCCCAGUGGCUCUGCAGACAUUCUGGCAUAGUAACCAUGGAGAUCACACUCAGAUAAGAUCAGAUGUGACAAAUGACCAUGUGAAUUUAUUUUUGUGCUGUCUCUAGGGUUACAUGUUUAAUGCUGUAUUACAUGAAACAUUCCAUUAAACAAAUGACAUAUUUC
This is a long non-coding RNA of Oncorhynchus kisutch (coho salmon), 703 nucleotides long. RefSeq lists it as uncharacterized. NCBI's taxonomy places the organism in Eukaryota, Metazoa, Chordata, Actinopteri, Salmoniformes, Salmonidae. The record is from RefSeq and is a predicted model, not a curated record. The transcript is spliced from 2 exons.